This 819-nucleotide ribosomal RNA is filed under the name uncultured soil bacterium. RNAcentral's name for it is "bacterial SSU rRNA". It matches the Rfam family "Bacterial small subunit ribosomal RNA", at positions 8 to 816 of the family's 1533-position model. The record is from RNAcentral.
AGAGUUUGAUCCUGGCUCAGAUUGAACGCUGGCGGCAUGCCUUACACAUGCAAGUCGAACGGCAGCAUGAUCUAGCUUGCUAGAUUGAUGGCGAGUGGCGAACGGGUGAGUAAUACAUCGGAACGUGCCCUGUAGUGGGGGAUAACUAGUCGAAAGAUUAGCUAAUACCGCAUACGACCUGAGGGUGAAAGUGGGGGACCGCAAGGCCUCAUGCUAUAGGAGCGGCCGAUGUCUGAUUAGCUAGUUGGUGAGGUAAAGGCUCACCAAGGCGACGAUCAGUAGCUGGUCUGAGAGGACGAUCAGCCACACUGGGACUGAGACACGGCCCAGACUCCUACGGGAGGCAGCAGUGGGGAAUUUUGGACAAUGGGCGAAAGCCUGAUCCAGCAAUGCCGCGUGUGUGAAGAAGGCCUUCGGGUUGUAAAGCACUUUUGUCCGGAAAGAAAUGGCUCUGGUUAAUACCUGGGGUCGAUGACGGUACCGGAAGAAUAAGGACCGGCUAACUACGUGCCAGCAGCCGCGGUAAUACGUAGGGUCCAAGCGUUAAUCGGAAUUACUGGGCGUAAAGCGUGCGCAGGCGGUUGUGCAAGACCGAUGUGAAAUCCCCGAGCUUAACUUGGGAAUUGCAUUGGUGACUGCACGGCUAGAGUGUGUCAGAGGGGGGUAGAAUUCCACGUGUAGCAGUGAAAUGCGUAGAGAUGUGGAGGAAUACCGAUGGCGAAGGCAGCCCCCUGGGAUAACACUGACGCUCAUGCACGAAAGCGUGGGGAGCAAACAGGAUUAGAUACCCUGGUAGUCCACGCCCUAAACGAUGUCAAC